UACGUAGGUGGCAAGCGUUAUCCGGAUUCACUGGGUGUAAAGGGCGUGUAGGCGGGGACGCAAGUCAGAUGUGAAAACCACGGGCUCAACCUGUGGCCUGCAUUUGAAACUGUGUUCCUUGAGUACUGGAGAGGCAGACGGAAUUCCUAGUGUAGCGGUGAAAUGCGUAGAUAUUAGGAGGAACACCAGUGGCGAAGGCGGUCUGCUGGACAGCAACUGACGCUGAGGCGCGAAAGCGUGGGGAGCAAACAGG
Molecule: ribosomal RNA, 253 nt
Filed under: uncultured bacterium
Lineage: Bacteria
Description: partial 16S ribosomal RNA
Rfam family: Bacterial small subunit ribosomal RNA
Source: RNAcentral